AUGAUCGACGACCCACCCGAAGAGCCGUCAUCACCAGUGCUCAUCAAGAGCCUGAUGCCCCGCAAGGAAUGGGCAGAGGACCUCUGUGUUUCAGUCAAGACAAAGGCAGCCUGCGGCUUCAUCAUUGCCCGCGACGGUCGUGUCAACCUCGAUCCCGAUGAUGUGGUGGCCAGGCUCGAGUGCAUCCUUGGCGGAGUUGACGUCCCCGAUGAAGUAGAACAUCGCCAACGUGAUAUCUUGAGGAUGCAGGUGAUCGACGGAAUUUGCUACCAGGCCGGAGACAUGGAAAUGGAGCGGUUCCGCGGAGUUGUCAUGCGCGCGAUUGCACACUAUCAAGCUCUUCUAGAAGAGGCCCAGCAGCCCCAAGAGCCUCCCAGCGCCAGCAGCUCCGUAGGCGGAGGCGGGUCGGGACACUUGGAGUGA
This 423-nucleotide ribosomal RNA is filed under the name Triticum aestivum (bread wheat). RNAcentral's name for it is "partial small subunit ribosomal RNA". The record is from RNAcentral. Lineage: Eukaryota; Viridiplantae; Streptophyta; Magnoliopsida; Poales; Poaceae.